GUGAAAACCAGCAGCUCAACUGCUGGCUUGCAGGCGAUACGGGCAGACUUGAGUACUGCAGGGGAGACUGGAAUUCCUGGUGUAGCGGUGAAAUGCGCAGAUAUCAGGAGGAACACCGGUGGCGAAGGCGGGUCUCUGGGCAGUAACUGACGCUGAGGAACGAAAGCGUGGGUAGCGAACAGGAUUAGAUACCCUGGUAGUCCACGCCGUAAACGGUGGGCGCUAGGUGUGGGUUCCUUCCACGGAAUCCGUGCCGUAGCUAACGCAUUAAGCGCCCCGCCUGGGGAGUACGGCCGCAAGGCUAAAACUCAAAGGAAUUGACGGGGGCCCGCACAAGCGGCGGAGCAUGUGGAUUAAUUCGAUGCAACGCGAAGAACCUUACCUGGGUUUGACAUAUACCGGAAAGCUGCAGAGAUGUGGCCCCCCUUGUGGUCGGUAUACAGGUGG
This 447-nucleotide ribosomal RNA is filed under the name bacterium symbiont of Megymenum gracilicorne. RNAcentral's name for it is "bacterial SSU rRNA". It matches the Rfam family "Bacterial small subunit ribosomal RNA", at positions 594 to 1041 of the family's 1533-position model. The record is from RNAcentral.